Molecule: long non-coding RNA, 2427 nt
Organism: Vicia villosa (hairy vetch)
Lineage: Eukaryota; Viridiplantae; Streptophyta; Magnoliopsida; Fabales; Fabaceae
Exons: 2
Source: RefSeq, a predicted model, not a curated record
CAACAUUUUAGUGUCCCCAAUAAUUUCACUUUCUAUUCUCAAUGCUCCUUUCCUAUUCUCAAUGCAAACCCUUCACUUCUAUUUUCUCUUCUCCCAAUUUCUAAUCAACAACUAUUAUUUUCUUCUAUUCCAUGCCAAUUGUUUGGUGCGCUCAUUGGUCACAUUAAAAAAAACUUUUUCCUCCUCCCAAACAAUCCUUUCAAAACAUCUCUGCAUUUUCUCUCUCUCCAUUGUUAACCUCUCUCAAAAAUCUUCUGUCUAUUUUCUCCUUCAAACCCUAAUAUCUCCACUCAACCUACGACCAUCAUCACCCAAUGGACAAAUAUUCAUAGUUCUCAUAUCAUGGCUUUCCGAAUGAACCAGUUAGAUUUUUGUUUCAAACAACUUUGGCGUCGAUUUUCGGUUUUAGCGACUAUUGAUUAAUGCGGUUUUGAUUUUGUAUAUAGUUUUUUUUCAUUGUUAAAUUGUUAAAUUCAUAUCAAUUUCGUAAUUGAUACUGAUUCAUAUGUUGUUCUGAUUAAUACGAACUGACUUUUUAAAAUUGAAUUUUGGAUUAUUGAACAUUACUGUAUUGGAAUAUUUGGGAAAGUUUUAGGAGUGUUGAUUUGAUUGAUGGAUAUUUUGUUGUUUUUACUGUGAGUGUUGUUUUGAUUCUUAACUUUGAUUGUUUGUAAUGUAGGCUUUGGAUAAGAUCCGGUUUGAGGGCUUGACUGACAAGAGCACUUGAAACUCAGCCAGAGUUGUUCGCUGGCGGCGAUGAUACCAUGUAUGAAUUGGAGUGGUCGGAUUCCAAAUUAUUGAUAUUUUUUAUCGAGUCAAAUGACAAUGGGGAUAAGUUCAAUGUAGUAAAGCAGAAGAGGUACAAUUUUAUAUUUAUUUUAAUUUGUCAUUAUUUGUCUUAUUUAUAAUAUUAGUUCAUAGCUUAUAGUUUGGGCAUAUAUGGUGUGGUGUUCGAUUUCGUAGCUUCUUGAAUGCACUCCAGUUUCUAUUAUGGUGUGACUGGCUGCUUGGCAAGGGCGCACCAUAAAGUUGUGAUGCAACACAUUUUAAAUGGUAUCCUGUGGCAGCUCUGGCACAAUAGUAGAUUAUAACUUGCUUUAAGCUCCCUUGCUAUUGUGGCGUGAAUGGCUGUUAGGCAAGUCCACCCCAUAAAAUUGUGAUGCAACACACUAAAUAGUGGCUUGUGGCAGCUCUGGCACAAUAGUAGUUUAUACCUUGGUUUUCAGAGUAUUGUAAUAUCUCUGAAAGACAGUUUCUAUGACAAAGCUGAAGCGUUAGUUGGGGUUUUCAGGGACUCUGGAAGAGCGUAAAUUUCUUUUCUUCACAUCAUUAAAUUAUUAGUAUUUCCUCCUCCCCCCCCCCCCCCUUUCUAUUCAAUAUGUUAAUGGCAUAAAUCUAAUCUAUUUUCGUUGUGUUUAAAUGAUAUACAUUCUACACUAUUUUUUUUUGCAGUUGUUCGAGUACUCUCACAUUUAGUGGCACAAAUCUAAUCUAUUUUCGUUGUGUUUAAAUCUAUGGCGUUUUCGGUGAUUUUUUGAUUUGUUGGUUUUUUACACUUAAUCUUUAUGAUUUUUUACACUGAAUCUUUAAACUGCAAAGUAUUGAUUUAUAACAAUUCAUGUUUUAACUUCUAUUCUGGUUGUAUUAACUUUAUGGUAGUGAUUUAAGCACUAAAGUAUUAUUUUUAAUACAAAAGUAUUGUGGUGCUCUUGAUAGUUAGCACUAUUAUUAUGUACAAAGUAGAUUUAGAGAUACAUUUUUAAAACAGGAUAAUCUUAUAUAGGGUUAGCUUGGAAAUGAGAAUGAUACUUAUUUAACUGGAUGAAGUUUAGCAAUUCCAAAUGAUCUUUAAAAGUGUUAAUUGGUGCUUUUUGAUUUCAUAAUAGCUUAAUACUACUCAUAUUGCAUGAAGGUUUCUGGCUGAAGUUACAAAGUAAGUUUUGUUAGAUCUUGAAGCGAGUAAAUAUCAGGUUAAUGAAAGAAAGAGUUGCGAUGACCACUUUAAUUAUGAAACACAUCUAUCUGUUAAUAUUCGAGAGGAAGAAUAAGGAUCUGGCAUCAGAAUAUGAAACUAAACUGUUUUAUCGGCAAUUUGUCACUGUCAUACUCCGACUGAAAUGGUGGUGAUGCAGGCAUAGUAAAUCGACGAACUGACGACUCAGGAAGUUUAAUAGUGUUAAUCAUUAAAUUGAUGUCAAAUAUUUAUGUCAAAAUAUGAUUUCUUUAAUAAUUAGGAACUUUUUUUCUUUACAUGAUGAUACCAGGUGGAUUGAGCGGUUCGAAACAUCCUUGGAUAAAGCAGCAGAUGCAUUUUGAUACAAGAGCAAUGUAUUUUCAAUCAAAAACUAUUGCAUAGACAUGCUUUAACUCUUAGAAACUCUUAUUUUAUGAAAGAUAUUAAAUAAUUUAUGUUUUGAUUAUUUUCUA